GGGAGGAGGUGACACCAGGACCCAGAGUGGAGAGGGCGGGGGAGGAGGUGACAUGGUGACACCAGGACCCAGAGUGUGAACUGGAAGAGGGGCUGUGAGUAGCAUGAGAUUUGGGGCUGGGGGAAAGUGUUGGGUCCAGUCAGGAACCUGCCCAUCCCAUACCUCCCGCAGAGGCGGCUCUGCCCUCAGCACUGCUGACCACUGGGCAGGCCUGGGCUGCCAGGGUCUCUCUGGGAUCAGCCCUGCCCCAUCUGCUGGGGGCUGAGCCCCAUUGCCUGCAGCCCCCCAUCAGGCCCUGGUGUCUGGAUGCCAGGCACAACGGGGCCACCUCCUGGGACGGGCCCAGGCCCCAGGACGAUGCCCGGCUGGUAUGCUGGCCGCAUCCUCCUCUGGCUUCUCUGUUUCCUGGGCUAGGCUUUUUUUAAACUCGAAGCAAAGCCAGCAGGAGAUGACUCUGUGGCCUGGCAGCCGAGCCCAGGGUUGACCCGCCAGUGCCGCCCUCCAGCCUUCCCCCUCCACACUUCCUCUGAGGCCGGGCAGUACCCGGGACCUUUGGCACCUGCCUCAGUUUCCAUCUUUGGGGGAGACAGGAGCACCCCCACUCCCUGACACAAAGGUCUGCCCCAGAGGCUCGGUCUAGGGGCCCAGCCUGUGGGUUCCAGCUCAGGACAGAGCACACCAGGGAGAAGAGAAACCGGCUCUUUCUCCGCCUGUGCGGGCCAGGCCCGAGGCGCGUGCCCCUCGCGGGGAGGUGGGACCCCUGAGUCAUUUCCUGUGCUAUCAGCUCCGGAAGCAGAGUGGGCCCGCUCAGGUUCCCAGAAACAGGCGAGAUGGGGGACAGACUCCGUGGCUGCCACGGAAACAAGGAGAACACUUUCAGUUGAAGGAGAAGCCUGGGACCCUUGACACAGACGUGAGUUGUGCAUUCGGAACCUCUCUGUGGAAAACACAGACCCUUCAUGACACGCAAACUUGAAGCCGGUGAGGCCGAGUCUCGGGGCUGCACCAAGCAGGAAGCCUGGCUGUCCAAUGUUCCAAAUCUGGAUGUGAAGUGGACCAUGCAAACAGGACCCAAGGGGCAUGGGGGAGCUGGCAGAGGCGCCCGGGAAAGGUGGGGAAGCACCUGUCGCCAGGAAGGUAGAGAGGCGCCUGCCCCACAACACGGUGCCAGCGACGCAAUAACCACCUUCGGAGACCGGACCCCUCAACGAGCACUCAGCCCACAACGUGACACAGAGAAACCAGAGACCUACGCAGGGAGUGCACCCACGGGGACACUCCGAGGGCGGCCUCCUGCCUGCCCUGAUUACUUAAAAAGGAGAUUCUUGGAAACCUUUGUGGGCCCACAGGUGCACCCUGACUCCCAGGGAUGGGGGCUGAGCCACCCAGGAAACAUGAAAUCAAAGAUCCAGACAGCCCUGACCCUCCUGAUUCCAGGGCCCAUAAAUAAGUCAUUCUUAAAAUAGUGGUUGUUUUCUCUCUA
Molecule: long non-coding RNA, 1483 nt
Organism: Symphalangus syndactylus (siamang)
Lineage: Eukaryota; Metazoa; Chordata; Mammalia; Primates; Hylobatidae
Source: RefSeq, a predicted model, not a curated record